CACGAGUUCACCGAUGCUCCACCU
This 24-nucleotide non-coding RNA is filed under the name Arabidopsis thaliana (thale cress). Lineage: Eukaryota; Viridiplantae; Streptophyta; Magnoliopsida; Brassicales; Brassicaceae. The record is from RNAcentral.